RNAcentral lists this ribosomal RNA (490 nucleotides) under uncultured bacterium. Its description in RNAcentral is "partial 16S ribosomal RNA". It matches the Rfam family "Bacterial small subunit ribosomal RNA", at positions 30 to 507 of the family's 1533-position model. The record is from RNAcentral.
AUUGAACGCUGGCGGCAGGCCUAACACAUGCAAGUCGAAUGGUAACAGGAAACAGCUUGCUGUUUCGCUGACGAGUGGCGGACGGGUGAGUCAUGUCUGGGAAACUGCCUGAUGGAGGGGGAUAACUACUGGAAACGGUAGCUAAUACCGCAUAACGUCGCAAGACCAAAGAGGGGGACCUUCGGGCCUCUUGCCAUCAGAUGUGCCCAGAUGGGAUUAGCUAGUAGGUGGGGUAACGGCUCACCUAGGCGACGAUCCCUAGCUGGUCUGAGAGGAUGACCAGCCACACUGGAACUGAGACACGGUCCAGACUCCUACGGGAGGCAGCAGUGGGGAAUAUUGCACAAUGGGCGCAAGCCUGAUGCAGCCAUGCCGCGUGUAUGAAGAAGGCCUUCGGGUUGUAAAGUACUUUCAGCGGGGAGGAAGGGAGUAAAGUUAAUACCUUUGCUCAUUGACGGUACCCGCAGAAGAAGCACCGGCUAACUCCGUG